UACAGAGGGUGCGAGCGUUGUUCGGAAUUACUGGGCGUAAAGCGUGCGCAGGCGGCUUUGCAAGACAGAUGUGAAAUCCCCGGGCUUAACCCGGGAACUGCAUUUGUGACUGCAUGGCUGGAGUGCGGCAGAGGGGGAUGGAAUUCCGCGUGUAGCAGUGAAAUGCGUAGAUAUGCGGAGGAACACCGAUGGCGAAGGCAAUCCCCUGGGCCUGCACUGACGCUCAUGCACGAAAGCGUGGGGAGCAAACAGG
RNAcentral lists this ribosomal RNA (253 nucleotides) under uncultured bacterium. Its description in RNAcentral is "partial 16S ribosomal RNA". It matches the Rfam family "Bacterial small subunit ribosomal RNA", at positions 524 to 776 of the family's 1533-position model. The record is from RNAcentral.